This 402-nucleotide ribosomal RNA is filed under the name Verrucomicrobiota bacterium. RNAcentral's name for it is "Verrucomicrobia bacterium partial 16S ribosomal RNA". It matches the Rfam family "Bacterial small subunit ribosomal RNA", at positions 355 to 776 of the family's 1533-position model. The record is from RNAcentral. Lineage: Bacteria; Pseudomonadati; Verrucomicrobiota.
UGGGGAAUUUUGCACAAUGGGGGAAACCCUGAUGCAGCGACGCCGCGUGAUUUAGAAGGCCUUCGGGUUGUAAAAAUCUUUUGUAUGGGAAGAAAAUGACAGUACCAUACGAAUAAGGACCGGCUAAUUACGUGCCAGCAGCCGCGGUAAUACGUAAGGUCCGAGCGUUGUCCGGAAUCAUUGGGCGUAAAGGGUGCGUAGGUGGUCUUUCAAGUCGGUGGUUAAAGGCUACGGCUCAACCGUAGUUAGCCUCCGAAACUGGAAGACUUGAGUGCAGGAGAGGAAAGUGGAAUUCCCAGUGUAGCGGUGAAAUGCGUAGAUAUUGGGAGGAACACCAGUAGCGAAGGCGGCUUUCUGGACUGCAACUGACACUGAGGCACGAAAGCGUGGGUAGCAAACAGG